GUGCCUAACACAUGCAAGUCGAACAAGAAAGUGGAGCAAUCCAUGAGUACAGUGGCGUACGGGUGAGUAACACGUGACUAACCUACCCUCGAGUGGGGAAUAACUUCGGGAAACCGAGGCUAAUACCGCAUAACAUCUACGGAUCAAAUGCGUAAGCAGCUUGAGGAGGGGGUCGCGGCUGAUUAGCUAGUUGGCGGGGUAACGGCCCACCAAGGCAAUGAUCAGUAGCCGGCCUGAGAGGGCGCACGGCCACACUGGAACUGAAACACGGUCCAG
Molecule: ribosomal RNA, 276 nt
Filed under: uncultured bacterium
Lineage: Bacteria
Description: partial 16S ribosomal RNA
Rfam family: Bacterial small subunit ribosomal RNA
Source: RNAcentral